RNAcentral lists this long non-coding RNA (1116 nucleotides) under Androctonus crassicauda. Lineage: Eukaryota; Metazoa; Arthropoda; Arachnida; Scorpiones; Buthidae. The record is from RNAcentral.
GAAACAUAUCUGUUAUUAAAAUAAAAUAAUAAUAAUUAAUAAUAAUAAUAAUAAAUCUUUGCUGAGUGUCAGCUAAGUUUUUAUGAAUUUUUGAAAGGUGGAAGAAAUUUUUAAGAAAAUUUUGAUGUAGAAAAUUGGUUAAAAAAUGACCCGUUUCUUUUUUAAUUAAAAGAAGUAAAAAUUUUAUUUUUGAAUAACGUAUUACCAUCUUCCCAUUAUAGUGAUUUUUUUUCGAUUGCCUUUACAUAAGUCAUAUACCAUAAUUAUAAAGUACAUCCCUUAGUUGGUAUUAAGAGAUGUUGUAUAAAAACUGGUAUUUGACUGCCUUAUAAAACAGUACAGGUGUCUAAAUGCAGUUGUGUUCCUGCUGUUUUAUGCUGUCUGGUCUUUCCUAUUUCUACGCAUCAACAUGUUACUGUGAUUUGUAAAUAAUCCUUUAAAUGCCUGAAGCUUAGUAUAUAGAUUAAGAAUCAUAACCACAAAAACGCCUCACUGCCGAUUAUUUGUGAUGUCGAUGCUGCAUAGAAUGAUAUGCUAUGAAAAUGCAGCAUCUUCGAAAUCAUUUCAACCGAAUAAUGGGUAGAAAAAAUAAUAAUAAUAAUAAUAAUAAAAUAGAUCAAAUUGUCUUUCUUUCAUUCUCUUUUUUAUUAUUCAUUAAAUGGGAAGUAUUGUAUUUUUCUACGUCAAAAAAAAAAAAAAAAAUGGUAGUUGGGAUAACAGAUUGUUCAUGGCCAGUAGCUGAUAAGAAGUAUAUCAAGAUGGAUUUUGAAAAAAUUCGAAAAAAAUAAAUAAAAAAUUAUAUGACUGGUUGAAACUUAAAUAUUAUUUAAGUUAGACUUUUUAAUGGUCUUCCUUGUUCAAUUUUUUUUAUAGUAAAAAUACAAAUAGGGAGCAUUUGUGUUGUGUCUCUUUGCCAUUUUGUUCCCAUUCAACUAGAUGAAUCCUAUUGUAAUGAUACACAACGCAUAAUUCCUGAUUGUUGACACAUUUAAGCGUAUUUUGCACUGUAUCCCAAACAAAAAUAAAAAAAAAUUAUAUUAUAUAUAUAUAAAUAUAUAUAUAAAAGAGUGACGAAAAAAAAUAUAUUCAUAUGCAUAAAUCUUGUCCUGUAUUUGU